RNAcentral lists this ribosomal RNA (371 nucleotides) under uncultured bacterium. RNAcentral's name for it is "partial 16S ribosomal RNA". It matches the Rfam family "Bacterial small subunit ribosomal RNA", at positions 338 to 706 of the family's 1533-position model. The record is from RNAcentral.
CCUACGGGUGGCAGCAGUGAGGAAUAUUGGUCAAUGGACGCAAGUCUGAACCAGCCAUGCCGCGUGCAGGAAGACGGCUCUAUGAGUUGUAAACUGCUUUUGUACGAGGGUAAACGCAGAUACGCGUAUCUGUCUGAAAGUAUCGUACGAAUAAGGAUCGGCUAACUCCGUGCCAGCAGCCGCGGUAAUACGGAGGAUUCAAGCGUUAUCCGGAUUUAUUGGGUUUAAAGGGUGCGUAGGCGGUCGGAUAAGUUAGAGGUGAAAUCCCGAGGCUCAACUUCGGACUUGCCUCUGGUAGUGGGCGGCGAGAGAGUAGUUGCGGUAGGCGGAAGGUAUGGGGUAGCGGUGAAAGGCGGAGAGAUGAUACAGAA